Molecule: ribosomal RNA, 291 nt
Filed under: Triticum aestivum (bread wheat)
Lineage: Eukaryota; Viridiplantae; Streptophyta; Magnoliopsida; Poales; Poaceae
Description: partial small subunit ribosomal RNA
Source: RNAcentral
AUGCAGCAGCACGACCGGAAGAUCGCCAAGGACAAGCUCUGGAGCAGGGAGCGGCGGGCAGCUCAGCGGCCUACGCUCACUUGUAUGGGCCAUGGCAGGUUUUGCCUUGUCGACUGUGUGGUACGCCAGGGAAUGAAGUCUGGUUACCCUGAUGGCUGCAUGCUCAACAUCACCACAUUUCGCCUCCGAUACUCUCGCAAGGGAGAGCUGCGGAUCGCUGAUCACGCCACCAGGUCCUGUCAAAUGACCAAGAAUGUCCGCGCAUUUUCUCCUGUGGCGUUCUGGAUGUAA